Non-coding RNA from Schizothecium vesticola, 92 nucleotides. NCBI's taxonomy places the organism in Eukaryota, Fungi, Ascomycota, Sordariomycetes, Sordariales, Schizotheciaceae. The record is from the annotation of a GenBank genome assembly.
GCCCGCUUGGCUCAGUGGUAGAGCGUGUCACUAGUAGUCUCCAGUAUUCCUCAUCCAUGACAAGGUCAUCAGUUCGAUUCUGAUAGUGGGCA